This 461-nucleotide ribosomal RNA is filed under the name Psalitrus sp. KS-2013. RNAcentral's name for it is "partial 16S ribosomal RNA". The record is from RNAcentral. Lineage: Eukaryota; Metazoa; Arthropoda; Insecta; Coleoptera; Hydrophilidae.
AAAAGUUUACUUUAAUCCAACAUCGAGGUCGCAACCCUUUAUAUCGAUAAGAACUCUCCAAAAAGAUUACGCUGUUAUCCCUAAGGUAAUUUAAUCUUUUAAUCAUUAAUAAUGGAUCAAUUAAUCAUAAAUAAAUGUUUUUAAUCUAAAAGUUAAUUAAAUUUUUUAAUCACCCCAACCAAAUAAUAUUUAAAAAUCAUAAAAAUUAAAUUCUUAAAAAUCUAAAAUAUAAAAAUUAUUAAACUCUAUAGGGUCUUCUCGUCCCAUAAUAAAAUUUGAACUUUUUAAUUCAAAUAUAAAAUUCAUAAUACUUAAUUAAAGACAGUUAUUUUCUCAUCUAACCAUUCAUACAAGCUUCUAAUUAAGAAACUAAUGAUUACGCUACCUUUGUACAGUCAAAAUACUGCAGCCAUUAAAUUAUUCAUUGGGCAGGUCAAACUUUUAAUCAUAAUCAAAAAGCC